Molecule: ribosomal RNA, 483 nt
Filed under: uncultured bacterium
Lineage: Bacteria
Description: bacterial SSU rRNA
Rfam family: Bacterial small subunit ribosomal RNA
Source: RNAcentral
GAUGAACGCUAGCGGCAGGCUUAACACAUGCAAGUCGAGGGGUAUUGGUUUUCGGACCAAGAGACCGGCGCACGGGUGCGUAACGCGUAUGCAAUCUACCUUUUGCAGAGGGAUAGCCCAGAGAAAUUUGGAUUAAUACCUCAUAGUAUAGUACUUUGGCAUCAAGGAACUAUUAAAGUCACAACGGCAAAGAUGAGCAUGCGUCCCAUUAGCUAGUUGGUAAGGUAACGGCUUACCAAGGCUACGAUGGGUAGGGGUCCUGAGAGGGAGAUCCCCCACACUGGUACUGAGACACGGACCAGACUCCUACGGGAGGCAGCAGUGAGGAAUAUUGGACAAUGGGCGCAAGCCUGAUCCAGCCAUGCCGCGUGCAGGAUGACGGUCCUAUGGAUUGUAAACUGCUUUUACACAGGAAGAAACAACGCUACGUGUAGCGUCUUGACGAUACUGUGAGAAUAAGGAUCGGCUAACUCCGUGCCAGCA